RNAcentral lists this long non-coding RNA (1431 nucleotides) under Equus caballus (horse). RNAcentral's name for it is "lncRNA (ENSECAG00000033739.3)". The record is from RNAcentral. Lineage: Eukaryota; Metazoa; Chordata; Mammalia; Perissodactyla; Equidae.
CGAAUUUUAUAGCAUUUAUGUAUGCACAUGCAUUGUACUUUAGUCCAUUUCACAGACUAAACCAAACACAACGAAUGUGAAAUACGAAUUAAAGUCUCUGGUCUCUGUUUGCAGCAAGAGGCCCAUUUGCUGGGUUCUGUCUGGCAUAAUCCCAGGGAGGCUAUGCCCACCUCACAGGUUGGUGGGGAUGUGGCCUUCUGAGGCUCUGCUUGACUGGGAGAUCCCUUCAGGACCAGUGUCACUGAGGGAGCAGGCUGCUGCCCCUCUUCAGAAGUAAUUAUCAGCUCAAUCAUCCGGAUGGCAAUGUCGCAGCUCUUUUCAGAAAAUUAAGCUGUCGCAGGUCUCCUGCAUCUUUGUCAGAAGGAGGUAUGAUGAAUCUGAGACGCAAAGGAGCUGAGAUAGCUCCAGGGGAGAAGAAACACAAUUGAAGAGAGCAUAUCAUUAUGAAGUGCCAAGCCUGGCUGUCCCUGGCAGAAAUGCAACAGAGACUAGGGAGUGAGAGAGACAGGCAAGCAAAAGCUGUAGCAGAUGGUCAGGAGAAGCCCACGGAAGACUCUGCUAGUGAUGGCUCCCUAUUCAGAUCCAAGGGCUGGCGCGGGAGGUAUCAGUGGAGAUAGGAGCACGCCAUCCUCAGCCUCACAGGUUGCUUCGGUUUGAAUUUCAACGAGGGGAGCCUGCCAAGAUCAGGCAGUAAAAUACGGACUGGAUCAUAAAUCCCAGCAGGGGUGGGAGAGCGUAAGACAGAUUGCUAACACCUUUAAAAAGAAAUUUUAAACAAAAAAGGUAGGAAUUUGCUUUAAAGUAUACCAGGCCCAGGAGGGACUGGGAGAGACAAGCCGUCUGAACGUGGGAGCUGGUUUGCCUCCCCAAUAGCACUUCUCUGAGGACUCCAACCCAUAGAAAGUUCUUCUGGCAGGCGAAGCAGGCCCCAUGGGCUCUUCAUCCAAAGCCAGCGAUGUUUCUCUGGGAUGUGUCUUGGAGAUAAGGCAGAAAUACUCUCAAAUGAGCACCUUCCAAAAAGUCGAGUCUUUCUGCAUCCUUCCCUCUGGAGUGACCGCUCAUGCCGCUCAUCAAAGUCUCCUUUCAUCAGCGCCAGGCCACGGGAAAUAAACGCAACUGGGAGCAAGGAGCUUGAAGCUGUAAGAAGAAAGCCAUGUGUUUCCUUCCUAAGACUAAAAUGAUUUCCCUACGAGGAAUAAAGAGCUUUUACAAACUUUCUGCAUGGAUACGUCUUGGAGGGGCGCACGCUGAUUUCUCUCACACCCGCACUGUGCACCAAGUGGAGAAACAGAAGCCCUUAUUUGCUUGGUUUUGUAACAGGUUCACUAUAUUUGAGCAUAGACAGAAAAGUAGACGGCCUUAUAACAGAGCUUAUUAUUACCCCGAUUUGGAUAAACCACAGGUCACAUCACGUCGGCUGAAACAUAACCG